AUAACAGUUGGAAACGACUGCUAAUACCGCAUAAGCGCACGGUAUCGCAUGAUACAGUGUGAAAAACUCCGGUGGUAUAAGAUGGACCCGCGUCUGAUUAGCUAGUUGGUGAGGUAACGGCCCACCAAGGCGACGAUCAGUAGCCGGCCUGAGAGGGUGAACGGCCACAUUGGGACUGAGACACGGCCCAAACUCCUACGGGAGGCAGCAGUGGGGAAUAUUGCACAAUGGGGGAAACCCUGAUGCAGCGACGCCGCGUGAGUGAUGAAGUAUUUCGGUAUGUAAAACUCUAUCAGCAGGGAAGAUAAUGACGGUACCUGACUAAGAAGCACCGGCUAAAUACGUGCCAGCAGCCGCGGUAAUACGUAUGGUGCAAGCGUUAUCCGGAUUUACUGGGUGUAAAGGGUGCGUAGGUGGUAUGGCAAGUCAGAAGUGAAAGGCUGGGGCUCAACCCCGGGACUGCUUUUGAAACUGUCAAACUAGAGUACAGGAGAGGAAAGCGGAAUUCCUAGUGUAGCGGUGAAAUGCGUAGAUAUUAGGAGGAACACCAGUGGCGAAGGCGGCUUUCUGGACUGAAACUGACACUGAGGCACGAAAGCGUGGGGAGCAAACAGGAUUAGAUACCCUGGUAGUCCACGCCGUAAAC
RNAcentral lists this ribosomal RNA (646 nucleotides) under uncultured bacterium. RNAcentral describes it as "bacterial SSU rRNA". It matches the Rfam family "Bacterial small subunit ribosomal RNA", at positions 143 to 807 of the family's 1533-position model. The record is from RNAcentral.